GGGGGUGACCCGGUUUCGACAGGGGUUGCAGACCAUGAAGCAGCGAGCCGGGGCGCCCAAGGCCUCGUUAACAAUGGGCAACGCCUUUAACUGGCAACCAGAACUACGCUCUCGCGGCUUAAUCGCCAUGAGCACUGCGCAGAGCUUGGCCUUUUGGCUUUGAUGCGGUGAACCUAAAAAAGGCUGCCCCGCUCCGGGGCGAACACCAAGCGGACAUCGCCGCACCUCAGGUGCCCCGAGACCCCGCGGAAGUGACGGAGAUGCGCUGAAGCUGCUGCCCUGACAGCCCAGCAAAGAUCCCAAGGGCCAAGCGUGCGGGGCCUUCCCACUGGGGAACUGCACGACGGAAAUCCAAUUAGAUGGGAACGCUCGUAGGACAGCUGAACGCGAAGAGCCUUUGGACGGCGGUUCGACUCCGCCCACCUCCACCA
Molecule: transfer-messenger RNA, 431 nt
Filed under: Deinococcus hopiensis
Lineage: Bacteria; Thermotogati; Deinococcota; Deinococci; Deinococcales; Deinococcaceae
Also listed under: 1 other name
Description: Standard tmRNA
Rfam family: transfer-messenger RNA
About the family: Bacterial tmRNA, also known as 10Sa RNA or SsrA, is named for its dual tRNA and mRNA-like properties. Its role is to liberate the mRNA from a stalled ribosome. To accomplish this part of the tmRNA is used as a reading frame that ends in a translation stop signal.
Source: RNAcentral